GAGUCAGGGCUAGGGGCGCCAGGACUUGGGCGUGCAGGACGCCAGGACUUGGGCGUGCAGGACGCCAGAGCUGGGUCAGAACUCGAGCCAGCGGCGCCCGGAGAGAUUCGGAGAUGCAGGCGGCUCGGAUGGCCGCGAGCUUGGGGCGGCAGCUGCUGAGGCUCGGGGGCGGAAGGUCUGUGUGUGACAAGAGGGACGGUGGGCAGCGGCCCUGGGCACCGGGCCGGGACUGAACCCCCACUCCCCACAGCUCGCGGCUCACGGCGCUCCUGGGGCAGCCCCGGCCCGGCCCUGCCCGGCGGCCCUAUGCCGGGGGUGCCGCUCAGUGCUCAACGAAGAGCAGACACAGUUUCUUAAAGAGCUGGUGGAGCCUGUGUCCCGUUUCUUCGAGUACGCCCGUUUGGUGGAGAUCGUGGGCAUGCAUGACCUUGGCGUGGGCAUUACCCUGGGGGCCCAUCAGAGCAUCGGUUUCAAAGGCAUCCUGCUCUUUGGCACAAAGGCCCAGAAAGAAAAAUACCUCCCCAAACUGGCAUCUGGGGAGGCUGUGGCCGCUUUCUGUCUAACCGAGUCCUCAAGCGGGUCAGAUGCAGCCUCCAUCCGAACCUCUGCUGUGCCCAGCCCCUGUGGAAAAUACUAUACCCUUAAUGGAAGCAAGCUUUGGAUC
Molecule: small RNA, 664 nt
Filed under: Pan troglodytes (chimpanzee)
Lineage: Eukaryota; Metazoa; Chordata; Mammalia; Primates; Hominidae
Description: processed transcript
Source: RNAcentral